AACGAACGCUGGCGGCAUGCCUAACACAUGCAAGUCGAACGAGACCUUCGGGUCUAGUGGCGCACGGGUGCGUAACGCGUGGGAACCUGCCUUUAGGUUCGGAAUAACUCAGAGAAAUUUGAGCUAAUACCGGAUGAUGUCUUCGGACCAAAGAUUUCUCGCCUUUAGAUGGGCCCGCGUUGGAUUAGCUAGUUGGUGGGGUAAAGGCCUACCAAGGCGACGAUCCAUAGCUGGUCUGAGAGGAUGAUCAGCCACACUGGGACUGAGACACGGCCCAGACUCCUACGGGAGGCAGCAGUGGGGAAUAUUGGACAAUGGGCGAAAGCCUGAUCCAGCAAUGCCGCGUGAGUGAUGAAGGCCUUAGGGUUGUAAAGCUCUUUUACCCGAGAUGAUAAUGACAGUACCGGGAGAAUAAGCUCCGGCUAACUCCGUG
RNAcentral lists this ribosomal RNA (433 nucleotides) under uncultured bacterium. RNAcentral's name for it is "partial 16S ribosomal RNA". It matches the Rfam family "Bacterial small subunit ribosomal RNA", at positions 29 to 507 of the family's 1533-position model. The record is from RNAcentral.